This 197-nucleotide ribosomal RNA is filed under the name uncultured Symbiodinium. RNAcentral describes it as "partial Eukaryotic large subunit ribosomal RNA". It matches the Rfam family "Eukaryotic large subunit ribosomal RNA", at positions 1556 to 1749 of the family's 3401-position model. Lineage: Eukaryota; Dinophyceae; Suessiales; Symbiodiniaceae. The record is from RNAcentral.
GGAAACUCCGUGUCAAAGUGCCCAAUCUUGGGCUGUCUAUCGAAAGGGAAUCGGGUUAACAUUCCCGAACCAGGACGUGGAUGCUAAGCGGUAACGCAAGCAAAGCUGGGGACGGCUGCGGGGGCCCCGACAAGAGUUUUCUUUUCUUGUUAACGUGUUUUCUGACCCCGGAAUCGGAUUGACCGGAGAUUGGGUUA